This 902-nucleotide ribosomal RNA is filed under the name uncultured bacterium. RNAcentral describes it as "bacterial SSU rRNA". It matches the Rfam family "Bacterial small subunit ribosomal RNA", at positions 373 to 1309 of the family's 1533-position model. The record is from RNAcentral.
GGGAGCAGUCUGACGGAGCACGCCGCGUGCAGGAUGAAGGUCUUCGGAUCGUAAACUGCUUUUACCGGGGAAGAGAAUGGACGGUACCCGGUGAAUAAGCCCCGGCUAACUACGUGCCAGCAGCCGCGGUAAUACGUAGGGGGCGAGCGUUGUCCGGAAUUAUUGGGCGUAAAGCGCACGCAGGCGGUCUAUUAAGUUCGGUAUGACAGUGGUCGGCUUAACCGAUCAAGGUUAUUGAAUACUGGUAGACUUGAGAGCGAGAGAGGGACAUGGAACUCCGGGAGGAGCGGUGAAAUGCGUAGAGAUCCGGAAGAACACCAAAGGCGAAGGCAGUGUCCUGGCUCGUUUCUGACGCUCAGGUGCGAAAGCUAGGGGAGCGAACGGGAUUAGAUACCCCGGUAGUCCUAGCCGUAAACGAUGACCACUAGAUGUGGGAGGUAUCGACCCCUUCCGUGUCGGAGCAAACGCGCUAAGUGGUCCGCCUGGGGAGUACGGUCGCAAGACUAAAACUCAAAGGAAUUGACGGGGACCCGCACAAGCAGCGGAGCGUGUGGUUUAAUUCGAAGCAACGCGCAGAACCUUACCAGGGUUUGACAUGCAUCUGCACCGUCCAGAGAUGGACGUCCCUUCGGGGCGGAUGCACAGGUGCUGCGUGGCUGUCGUCAGCUCGUGCCGUGAGGUGUUGGGUUAAGUCCCGCAACGAGCGCAACCCCUACUGUUAGUUGGAUUUUUCUAACGAGACUGCCACGAUAACGUGGAGGAAGGUGGGGAUGACGUCAAGUCAGCACGGCCCUGACAUCCUGGGCGACACACACGCUACAAUGGUCGGGACAACGAGUCGCGAACCCGCGAGGGGGAGCCAAUCUCCGCAAACCCGAUCUCAGUUCAGAUUGCAGGCUGCA